GAUGAACGCUGGCGGCGUGCCUAAUACAUGCAAGUCGAGCGAACAGACGAGGAGCUUGCUCCUCUGACGUUAGCGGCGGACGGGUGAGUAACACGUGGAUAACCUACCUAUAAGACUUGGAUAACUUCGGGAAACCGGAGCUAAUACCGGAUAAUAUAUUGAACCGCAUGGUUCAAUAGUGAAAGACGGUUUUGCUGUCACUUAUAGAUGGAUCCGCGUCGCAUUAGCUAGUUGGUAAGGUAACGGCUUACCAAGGCAACGAUGCGUAGCCGACCUGAGAGGGUGAUCGGCCACACUGGAACUGAGACACGGUCCAGACUCCUACGGGAGGCAGCAGUAGGGAAUCUUCCGCAAUGGGCGAAAGCCUGACGGAGCAACGCCGCGUGAGUGAUGAAGGUCUUCGGAUCGUAAAACUCUGUUAUUAGGGAAGAACAAAUGUGUAAGUAACUAUGCACGUCUUGACGGUACCUAAUCAGAAAGCCACGGCUAACUACGUG
This 497-nucleotide ribosomal RNA is filed under the name uncultured bacterium. Its description in RNAcentral is "partial 16S ribosomal RNA". It matches the Rfam family "Bacterial small subunit ribosomal RNA", at positions 28 to 507 of the family's 1533-position model. The record is from RNAcentral.